GAAGCUGGAAUUGCUAGUAAUCACAGGUCAGCAUACUGUGGUGAAUACGUUCCCGGGCCUUGUACACACCGCCCGUCACACCAUGAGAGUUGAGAAUACCCGAAGCCCAUGUCAAAGUGGUCGAAGGUAGGCUUGAUGAUUGGGGUGAAGUCGUAACAAGGUAAC
RNAcentral lists this ribosomal RNA (165 nucleotides) under uncultured bacterium. RNAcentral's name for it is "partial 16S ribosomal RNA". It matches the Rfam family "Bacterial small subunit ribosomal RNA", at positions 1322 to 1500 of the family's 1533-position model. The record is from RNAcentral.